CCGGGUCCGGUCCCCGCUCUCCUCCCGAACCUCGGACCUGGGACCCGGGGCGACUCCGGCCCGUGCGUGGGGACGUGGAGGGGUCGUGACCUCCGACCGCGGUCACUCACCGUCCUCGCUCUGGUUGUAGUAGCCGAGCAGGGUCCUCAGGCUCACUCGGUAAAUCUGCUCGUUGUUCUUGGCUCUCCGUGUGUUCCUCUCCCAAUACUCCGGCUCCACCUGCGCCAUCCACGGCGCCCGCGGCUCAUAUCUCGGAGUCUCCGCGUCGCUGUCGUAGCGCACGAACUGCGUGUCGUCCACGUAGCCGACGGAGAUGAACCGGGGCUCCCCGAGGCCGGGCCGGGACACGGCGGUGUGGAAAUACAGCAGGGAGUGCGAGCCUGGGGGCGGCGCGCGGUGAGACCCCGACCCUGCUCCCGGGACCCCGGGCAGGAGCGCGGGCCGGGAGGGGAGCGGGGCGCGGGGCUCGGGACGCGGGUGGAGAAGGGGCGGGAGGGUCCGGCUGGGCCACGCGGGGACGCGGCUUCCCCGGUGCCGCCCCCGCCCUCCCCGCAGAGCCCGUUUCCCUCCCGACCCCGCACUCACCCGCGCGGGUCAGGGUCGGGGCCAGGGCGGCCGCCAGCAGCAGGAGCAGCGCGCGCGGCGACAUCGCCCCAUCUUGGAUCUGGGGCGACUCUGAGUUCCGCGGUCUGCGUGGACUUUAUAACAGGUGACCGCAGCGACGCUGGUUGGUUCCCCGGGAUCUCGUCACCCAAUGGGGGUGAGAACCGCCCAGUUGUCAUCAGCGUCCCGGCAGAAGGACCUGACCCGGGUUAGGAGCUGGAGAAGUGAAACUGCAGCCCUGGGCUUCCCCACCCAGACCUCACCCGCCUGGGACUAAGACUUUGCCUGAGCCCUGCGCUGCGGGGUGGAGCGCUGUGUGUCAUGGGGUCUCUGAGCCGCCUAAGGCCAACUGCUCCUCAGGUUAGUGAGGGUGAAACCUGAGAGCGUGAAGUUUCCAGGUAAAAUACACACAGCCCUGAAGGUGCAGGGCUGCUGUGGACACCUGCAUGGGGAGGUGACUGGAGUUUUUACAGUUCUGAUUAAGCACUUUUGACACACUGUGUCAUAUGUGACUCUCCCUGCAGGAAGGAGGCCCUGCUCACCUCUGCUUUCGCUUUCUAUUUUAGUUAAGUGUGACUGGAAUUUGAAGACAUCAAGUAAAAAUCCACAGGAAAAAAAUUAUAAAUUCAAUUUUUCUCCACAUAUUGAACACAGAUGAAACCUAGAAUCCCCAGUGUGUACCCUGCCGUGAGAGUCACCCUCUGUCCAGUGUCCACACUGCACAGGCCUGAGGAAUUCAGAAGCCAACUGUCAUCAGAUCCAGUGUCCCACAAGCCUGUGACAAUCAUCUCCCUCAUCUCAUCAGCUCAUAAAGACUAUGGAAUGAAGAUCUGUGUAAAACACAAGCAUCUGGAGCCACAGAUGAUCAUCUGGGAAGAAACACCAGGAGUCUGAGUGUAAGCACAGGCUGUGAAGACACGAUCCCGAGUGAAGAGGCAAAGUCUCUGUUUACAGACCCUGGAUCUUCUAGGAGAAAAGUCACUUCCAGGAACACAAUGGCAACAACAAGCAGGUUGGGAUGCAGUGCAGAGAUGCUUCUCUUUAAAGCUGAGGUGCUGGCCUGCAAGCCCCACAGACUCCCACAGAGACACAGUCAUGCUCACUGUCUUGGGUCUCUGGCUGCCCUGUCCUCAUCAAACUUAGAGCCAGGUGGAACAUUCCAUCCUUUCUACCAGUGGGAAGAAGACAUUUUGUUUUCUUUCAGGGAUGAAGCAGAUCUAUGGGAGCCAAAAGAGGCUGCAAAUCCCUUCCUCCUUCCCCACAAUAAAACUCCACAUAGCUCUG
Arvicola amphibius (Eurasian water vole) is the source of this 1887-nucleotide long non-coding RNA. RefSeq lists it as uncharacterized. The transcript has 3 exons. The record is from RefSeq and is a predicted model, not a curated record. Lineage: Eukaryota; Metazoa; Chordata; Mammalia; Rodentia; Cricetidae.